UACGUAGGGUGCAGGCGUUAAUCGGAAUUACUGGGCGUAAAGCGUACGCAGGCGGUUUGCUAAGACAGGUGUGAAAUCCCCGGGCUUAACCUGGGAACUGCGCUUGUUACUGGCAAGCUAGAGUGUGGCAGAGGGGGGUAGAAUUCCAGGUGUAGCAGUGAAAUGCGUAGAUAUCUGGAGGAAUACCGAUGGCGAAGGCAGCCCCCUGGGUUAACACUGACGGUCAUGUACGAAAGCGUGGGGAGCAAACAGG
This 253-nucleotide ribosomal RNA is filed under the name uncultured bacterium. Its description in RNAcentral is "partial 16S ribosomal RNA". It matches the Rfam family "Bacterial small subunit ribosomal RNA", at positions 524 to 776 of the family's 1533-position model. The record is from RNAcentral.